GUUUACUGCAAGCUUAAGCCUAGCUACGCUAAUAAGAGCUUCAUUUGUCUUUUUCGAUGGGUUCUUGAUGUGGUAGGUGUAUGACUGAGCGUUAGGCAUCUUUGCAUUUUAGUUGCAAACCACAACCAUGCAGUGCCUUCAGCUGAAAGUCCGUAAGUUCUGCCAUAGCUGAGGAGUCCACGAAGGAGGAGAGUGGGAGCCACGCCACUGCACAAGGACGCCCUGCAGCCAGCAAAAGGGUAUGGGGUCGUAGUGCAAGGCGCAUUAUCCAGCUGAAAAAGGCCAAAGCCAUCAGGGAAUACCAUUACAAUGCUCAGUGCAUCCUGGUGCCAUGUGUUCUCCAGGUAAGCGACACACAUGCAGCUGGCCAUCAACGUGAUAUAAAAGGAAACAGUAUUCAUCAGACCAAGCCACCAUCUUCCAUUGCUCCGUGAUUCAGUUCUGAUGUUCACGUGCCCAUUGUAGGCGUUUUCGGCAGUGAACAGGGGUCAACAUGGGCACCCUUACAGGUCUGCGGCUACACUGCCCCAUACGCAACAAAGUGCGAUACACUGUGUGUUCUGACACCUUUCUCUCAGUAACAGCAUUAACCUUUUCAGCAGUUGGAGCUACAGUAGCUUGUCUGUUGGAUUGGACCACACAUGCCAGCCUUCGCUCCCCACGUGCAUCAGUGAGCCUUGGCCGCCCAUGACCCUGUCACCGCUUUUCCUUCCUUGGACCACCUUUGUUAGGUACGGACCACUGCAGACCAGGAACACCCCUGCAAUUUUUGAGAUGCUCUGACCCAGUCGUCUAGCCAUCGCAAUUUGGCCCCUUGUCAAUGUCAUGCAGUUCCUUACGCUUGCCCAUUUUUCCUGUUUCUAACACCAAUUUUGAGGACAGAAUGUUCACUUGCUGCCUAAUAUGUCCCACCCACUGACAUGUGCCAUGAUAACACGAUUAUCAAUGUUAUUUACUUCACCUGUCAGCGGUCAUAAUGUUAUGGCUGAUCGGUGUAUAUUGAUAGUUAUUGUGUCAAUGUAAUUCGCGAAUGAAAGAAAAACAAACGUUGUUGUGCCAUGAAAUGAAAUAGCUUUUGCAGUGUAAAGUUCAUCUCCAGUCUUGCUAGCAAUUGCUCAGUGCCGUACAGUUCAUAAUUGCUGUUUGUGGUGGUGGUAAACUUAAUAAGAAAUGUAAGUCAGUUUAACACAAUGCUUUAUGGUGUCUAGCUGGCUGAACUAGGCUUUCCUGGUUCCUUUUAUGGUUUGGAAAUGGGGUUGUAUACAAUAUAACAUUGCAACAUGAAUGUAAAAGUGUUUAGAUACAUAUGCUGUUUUUAUUUUAAAUUAAAA
Molecule: long non-coding RNA, 1331 nt
Organism: Esox lucius (northern pike)
Lineage: Eukaryota; Metazoa; Chordata; Actinopteri; Esociformes; Esocidae
Source: Ensembl